This 373-nucleotide ribosomal RNA is filed under the name uncultured organism. RNAcentral describes it as "partial 16S ribosomal RNA". It matches the Rfam family "Bacterial small subunit ribosomal RNA", at positions 527 to 896 of the family's 1533-position model. The record is from RNAcentral.
GUAGGUGGCAAGCGUUGUCCGGAAUUGUUGGGCGUAAAGCGCGCGCAGGGCGGUCCUUUAAGUCUGAUGUGAAAGCCCACGGCUCAACCGUGGAGGGUCAUUGGAAACUGGGGGACUUGAGUACAGAAGAGGAAAGCGGAAUUCCAAGUGUAGCGGUGAAAUGCGUAGAGAUUUGGAGGAACACCAGUGGCGAAGGCGGCUUUCUGGUCUGUAACUGACGCUGAGGCGCGAAAGCGUGGGGAGCAAACAGGAUUAGAUACCCUGGUGGUCCACGCCGUAAACGAUGAGUGCUAAGUGUUAGGGGGUUUCCGCCCCUUAGUGCUGCAGCUAACGCAUUAAGCACUCCGCCCGGGGAGUACGGCCGCAAAGGCUG